Molecule: unclassified non-coding RNA, 217 nt
Filed under: Hevea brasiliensis (rubber tree)
Lineage: Eukaryota; Viridiplantae; Streptophyta; Magnoliopsida; Malpighiales; Euphorbiaceae
Source: RNAcentral
GUAUUAAAUCAAAUCAACAAUCGCAUAAAGCUUGCUUAAUUGUCUAUUAAGAUGCAACACAGAUGUAUUAUUACCAUAAUCAUUAUUUAGAGCACUCAACUAACCUCGUAUAGAUAAAUCAAGAGCAAGCAUAACGUACGAGAAUACGACGCUGAAUGGGGCUUCUACAAGAAGGGCAAUCCUUCAUCCCUUGUUUCUCAUGGAGCUCAUUACAUGU